GGAAGACUUUAUUAAAUUUUCUACAGAUCCCUAAAGUUAUAAUUUUAUUUAUAUAAUUACGAUUAGAUAAUGAUCAACGUUUAGUAAAUUAGUGUGUUUGUAUAGGUCAGCUGAAUUGAACAUAUACCAGUUCUAACCAGGCUAGUAAUUAUGGGUUAACCAGUCUGUAAGUAGAAUCUACAUAAAUUAUUUUUAAAUAAAUAUUUAAAU
Molecule: unclassified non-coding RNA, 210 nt
Filed under: Hevea brasiliensis (rubber tree)
Lineage: Eukaryota; Viridiplantae; Streptophyta; Magnoliopsida; Malpighiales; Euphorbiaceae
Source: RNAcentral